CUACGGGACGCUGCAGUGGGGAAUAUUGGACAAUGGGGGAAACCCUGAUCCAGCAAUGCCGCGUGAAUGAAGAAGGCCUUAGGGUUGUAAAGUUCUUUCACCUGUGAAGAUGAUGACGGUAGCAGGAGAAGAAGCCCCGGCUAACUCCGUGCCAGCAGCCGCGGUAAGACGGAGGGGGCUAGCGUUGUUCGGAAUGACUGGGCGUAAAGGGCGCGUAGGCGGUCUUUUAAGUGAGGCGUGAAAGCCCUGGGCUUAACCCAGGAGGUGCGUUUCAAACUGGAAGACUUGAGUACGAGAGAGGAAAGUGGAAUUCCUAGUGUAGAGGUGAAAUUCGUAGAUAUUAGGAAGAACACCAGUGGCGAAGGCGGCUUUCUGGCUCGUAACUGACGCUGAGGCGCGAAAGCGUGGGGAGCAAACAGGAUUAGAUACCCUAGUAGUC
Molecule: ribosomal RNA, 439 nt
Filed under: uncultured bacterium
Lineage: Bacteria
Description: partial 16S ribosomal RNA
Rfam family: Bacterial small subunit ribosomal RNA
Source: RNAcentral